Molecule: non-coding RNA, 100 nt
Filed under: Halorubrum saccharovorum DSM 1137
Lineage: Archaea; Methanobacteriati; Methanobacteriota; Halobacteria; Halobacteriales; Haloferacaceae
Source: RNAcentral
CUCGCCGCCGGGACCGGCUUCGACGCCGACGCCACCGUGGCCGUCGACGCCGAGUCCCGGGACGAGACGACAUGUGGCCGCCUCGCGGCUGAAUCGCAAC